GUCUCUGUGGCGCAAUGGGCGAGCACGCUCGGCUGUUAACCGGGAGGCUGGUGGUUCGAGCCCACCCAGGGACG
Nothoprocta perdicaria is the source of this 74-nucleotide non-coding RNA. The record is from the annotation of a RefSeq genome assembly. NCBI's taxonomy places the organism in Eukaryota, Metazoa, Chordata, Aves, Tinamiformes, Tinamidae.